RNAcentral lists this long non-coding RNA (440 nucleotides) under Salvia miltiorrhiza (redroot sage). RNAcentral's name for it is "long non-coding RNA (SMIL_LNC001453)". Lineage: Eukaryota; Viridiplantae; Streptophyta; Magnoliopsida; Lamiales; Lamiaceae. The record is from RNAcentral.
UGAUGUGUGUGAUUUAGUUGUCUAGAUUAUGCUUUUUAUCGUGUGAUUUUUCUUUGAUAUUACCCAAGUUUGUGGUGUUUCGCUGCAGGAAUUGCAUGGAUGGAGAGUGAAAGCUCGUGGAUGCUGUGAGAUCGAGAAUGGUGUAGAUUUGAUGAUGUUGGCGUUGAUUUUAGAGAAGAUUAAAUAUUUGGGCUUGGAGUAUUUGUUCUAAAUUUAAUUAAGUCCUAAACUUUUGAUUAAUUAUUUAAGUGGGCCUUUUGUUUGAAUUAGGCAGCCCACUUUAGAGUGAGGCGGCAGUUUAAUGUUUUAUGGGAAUUAAUUCCCUUAGUUUUGGGGAUUCCAAUUAGCUGCAAACUUUAGAUAGAUAUAUAGGUUAUUAGUUUAGUUUUUAAGGGGAGCCGCAUAUUAGUGAUAGAGUUUAGGGUUUUAUUUUAAUUAAC